GCAGUGGUGGUUCAGUGGUAGAAUCCUCACCUUCCAUGAGGGAGACCCGGGUUCAAUCCCCGGCCAAGGCA
This 71-nucleotide transfer RNA is filed under the name Loxodonta africana (African savanna elephant). It matches the Rfam family "tRNA". From Rfam's summary of the family: Transfer RNA (tRNA) molecules are approximately 80 nucleotides in length. Their secondary structure includes four short double-helical elements and three loops (D, anti-codon, and T loops). Further hydrogen bonds mediate the characteristic L-shaped molecular structure. tRNAs have two regions of fundamental functional importance: the anti-codon, which is responsible for specific mRNA codon recognition, and the 3' end, to which the tRNAs corresponding amino acid is attached (by aminoacyl-tRNA synthetases). tRNAs cope with the degeneracy of the genetic code in two manners: having more than one tRNA (with a specific anti-codon) for a particular amino acid; and 'wobble' base-pairing, i.e. permitting non-standard base-pairing at the 3rd anti-codon position. Lineage: Eukaryota; Metazoa; Chordata; Mammalia; Proboscidea; Elephantidae. The record is from Rfam by way of RNAcentral.